Molecule: ribosomal RNA, 449 nt
Filed under: uncultured bacterium
Lineage: Bacteria
Description: bacterial SSU rRNA
Rfam family: Bacterial small subunit ribosomal RNA
Source: RNAcentral
GACCAGACUCCUACGGGAGGCAGCAGUGGGGAAUAUUGGACAAUGGGGGGAACCCUGAUCCAGCGACGCCGCGUGAGUGAAGAAGUAUUUCGGUAUGUAAAGCUCUAUCAGCAGGGAAGAAAGAAAUGACGGUACCUGACUAAGAAGCCCCGGCUAACUACGUGCCAGCAGCCGCGGUAAUACGUAGGGGGCAAGCGUUAUCCGGAUUUACUGGGUGUAAAGGGAGCGUAGACGGCGAUGCAAGUCUGAAGUGAAAGGCGGGGGCCCAACCCCCGGACUGCUUUGGAAACUGUAUGGCUGGAGUGCAGGAGAGGUAAGUGGAAUUCCUAGUGUAGCGGUGAAAUGCGUAGAUAUUAGGAGGAACACCAGUGGCGAAGGCGACUUUCUGGACUGAACCUGACGCUGGGGCGCGAAAGCAUGGGUAGCGAACGGGAUUAGAUCCCCUAGUA